UACGUAGGGUGCGAGCGUUGUCCGGAAUUAUUGGGCGUAAAGGGCUCGUAGGCGGUUUGUCGCGUCGGGAGUGAAAUCCACUGGCUUAACUGGUGGCUUGCUUUCGAUACGGGCAGGCUAGAGUUCGGUAGGGGAGACUGGAAUUCCUGGUGUAGCGGUGAAAUGCGCAGAUAUCAGGAGGAACACCGAUGGCGAAGGCAGGUCUCUGGGCCGAUACUGACGCUGAGGAGCGAAAGCGUGGGGAGCGAACAGG
Molecule: ribosomal RNA, 253 nt
Filed under: uncultured bacterium
Lineage: Bacteria
Description: partial 16S ribosomal RNA
Rfam family: Bacterial small subunit ribosomal RNA
Source: RNAcentral